Long non-coding RNA from Haliotis rubra (blacklip abalone), 590 nucleotides. RefSeq lists it as uncharacterized. The record is from RefSeq and is a predicted model, not a curated record. NCBI's taxonomy places the organism in Eukaryota, Metazoa, Mollusca, Gastropoda, Lepetellida, Haliotidae. The transcript is spliced from 3 exons.
UCUGUUGAUCAUUGGAUUGUCUGGUCCAGACUCGAUUAUUUACAGACCGCCGCCAUAUAGCUGGAAUAUUGCUGAGUGCGGAGUAAAACAAUACACCAAACCAAAACUAAAUCUUUCUUCAUCAAUAUUUAUUUAAUGUUUUCUUAGCAAAGCGACUCGAUUUGCAUUAUAUAAUAUGUCACUAUUCAUAGGUGAUCCGAACUUCAAGAGUUCAUGAAAAUGACAUAAUUAGUGAAAACAUUUAUUUUUAUUUCUUAUGUUGUUACCUUUACGACGAGCAUGGGAUGCUGAAGACCAAUUCUAACCCGGACUUCCACUCACGGGUCUGCAGCAAUAGGAGGUGUGAACAGGAUAUAAGUACACAGAAGUAAUACGCAUGCCAACCAUGCUGAACAGACGUGAGAGGUUACCAUGGAGAUUGUACGAACGAUUCAAUGUCUCUCUCCUCGGGCAAGGCCGUUUGGUUUGUUGGUUAGCAAUACUCAACAUGAUUCCAGCGAUAUGACGGCGGUCUAUGUAAUCAUCCGAAGUCGUGGUAUUGGAGGACAUCUACAGUCUAGCUGCACAACAACUCCCCGUGGACCUCGGGG